Molecule: ribosomal RNA, 659 nt
Filed under: Thaxterogaster singularis
Lineage: Eukaryota; Fungi; Basidiomycota; Agaricomycetes; Agaricales; Cortinariaceae
Description: eukaryotic LSU rRNA
Rfam family: 5.8S ribosomal RNA (bases 294-447)
Source: RNAcentral
GAGGAAGUAAAAGUCGUAACAAGGUUUCCGUAGGUGAACCUGCGGAAGGAUCAUUAUUGAAAUAAACUGAUGAGUUGCUGCUGGCUCUCUUGGGAGCAUGUGCACACUUGUCAUCUUUAUAUCUCCACCUGUGCACCUUUUGUAGACUUGGAUAUCUCUCUGACUGCCUAGCACUCAGGUUUGAGGAUUGACUUUAUUGUCUCUCCUUACAUUUCCAGGCCUACGUUUCUUCAUAUACCCCAAUGUAUGUCAUAGAAUGUAAUAAAUGGGCCUUUGUGCCUAUAAACCUAUACAACUUUCAGCAACGGAUCUCUUGGCUCUCGCAUCGAUGAAGAACGCAGCGAAAUGCGAUAAGUAAUGUGAAUUGCAGAAUUCAGUGAAUCAUCGAAUCUUUGAACGCACCUUGCGCUCCUUGGUAUUCCGAGGAGCAUGCCUGUUUGAGUGUCAUUAAUAUAUCAACUUCUACAACUUUUGUUUGUUGAGUGUUGGAUGUGGGGGGUCAUUUUUUGCUGGCUUCUCUGAGGUCAGCUCCCCUGAAAUAUAUUAGCAGAACAAUUCCGUUCAUUGGUGUGAUAACUAUCUAUGCUAUUGACGUGAAGCAGUUCAGCUUAUAACAGUCCAUUGACUUGGACAAAUUUUCAUUAAUGUGACCUCAAAUC